Molecule: non-coding RNA, 75 nt
Organism: Podarcis lilfordi (Lilford's wall lizard)
Lineage: Eukaryota; Metazoa; Chordata; Lepidosauria; Squamata; Lacertidae
Source: the annotation of a GenBank genome assembly
UCAAAACACUAUCUCAGUUGGUAGAGCACAAGACUCUUAAUCUCAGGGUUGUGUGUUCGAGCCCCAUGUUGGGAA